RNAcentral lists this long non-coding RNA (426 nucleotides) under Lathyrus oleraceus (garden pea). RNAcentral's name for it is "Pisum sativum (pea) long non-coding RNA (PSAT_LNC018909)". Lineage: Eukaryota; Viridiplantae; Streptophyta; Magnoliopsida; Fabales; Fabaceae. The record is from RNAcentral.
AGGGCUUAUACUGAAAUGAUGAUUAAGGCCAUGGUAUAUGGGGUUUCGGGAAUGAUUCCUAUAUUUACGAAGCUUAUGGUGCUAAAACAGAUAUUGAUGUUUCGCAAAGUUCUCCCAAGUCACCGCAUCCUUACUCGAAACCUGUCUUUAAAACCCGAAAACUUUCGGAAUAACACUGUUGGGGCUAAAGGUAUGGGGAGAUUAGAUUGUACUAAAGAUACACUAUAUUUGGUGACUCGUCAGACUCAUGCAUUAUCUAAGACACUUAAACUGAAAGAAAAAUAAACAACUAAAAGGCAAUAAAAAUAAACAAACUAUCUAAAAACAACAAAGAAAAAGCGAUAAAGAAAAGACGAUAGAGUCUCCUCCCACACUUAAAUCGAACAUUGUCCCCAAUGUUUCGAAAUAAGAUAAGGGAAGAGUUAC